AUGAAAACGGUCCCGCCGAACGUCUGCCGGGAGGAGAAGCAGCCCCCUCCGACGUCCCGAACACGCCGUGUGGAGCCUGACGUUAUGAAAUGUCUGGUUAAUUGUCUCCGGUCGUUAAUUGGUGCCUUUCGCGCGGCGGAGAGGGAAAAGCAACCCGGCUCUCGACGGCUGAGCCUUCCCCCCGCGGGACAGGCCUGGGAGGAUAAAUACAGUGCCUGGAGGAGGGUGUUAUUGCCCCUUUCGGGGGUAUUAUUGCCCCUUUCAGAGAUGUUAUUGCCCCUUUCAGGGGUAUUAUUGCCCUUUAAGGGAUUUUAUUGCACUUUGGAGGGAUAUUAUUACCCUUUUCAGGGAUGUUACAGCCCCUUUCAGGGAUGUUAUUGCCCUUUGCAAGGAUAUUAUUGCCCCUUUCAGGGAUGUUAUUGCCCCUUUCAUGGAUAUUAUUGCCCUUUGCACGAUGUUACUGCUUCUCUCAGGGAUGUUAUUGCCCUUUGGAGGGAUGUUGUUGCCCCUUUCAGGGAUGUUAUUGCCCCUUUCAUGGAUAUUAUUGCCCUUUGUAUGAUGUUGUUGCCCCUUUCAGGGAUAUUAUUGCCCUUUUCAUGGGUAUUAUUGCCCUUUAAGGGAUUUUAUUGCCCUUUGGAGAGGUAUUAUUGCCCUUUUCAGGGAUGUUACUGCCCCCUUAUGGGAUAUUAUUGCCCCUUUCAUGGAUAUUAUUGCCCCUUUCAGAGAAGUUAUUGCCCCUUUCAUGGAUGUUUUUGCCCUUUGCAUGAUGUUAUUGCCCCUUUCAGGGAUAUUAUUGCCUUUUUCAUGGGUAUUAUUGCCCUUUGCAUGAUGUUAUUGCCCUUUGCAAGGAUAUUAUUGCCCCUUUCAGGGAUGCUAUUGCCUUUUNUUAUUGCCCCUUUCAUGGAUAUUAUUGCCCCUUUCAGAGAAGUUAUUGCCCCUUUCAUGGAUGUUUUUGCCCUUUGCAUGAUGUUAUUGCCCCUUUCAGGGAUAUUAUUGCCUUUUUCAUGGGUAUUAUUGCCCUUUGCAUGA
RNAcentral lists this long non-coding RNA (1029 nucleotides) under Calidris pygmaea (Spoon-billed sandpiper). RNAcentral's name for it is "lncRNA (ENSCPGG00000003101.1)". Lineage: Eukaryota; Metazoa; Chordata; Aves; Charadriiformes; Scolopacidae. The record is from RNAcentral.